RNAcentral lists this ribosomal RNA (253 nucleotides) under uncultured bacterium. RNAcentral describes it as "partial 16S ribosomal RNA". It matches the Rfam family "Bacterial small subunit ribosomal RNA", at positions 524 to 776 of the family's 1533-position model. The record is from RNAcentral.
UACGGAGGGUGCAAGCGUUGCUCGGAAUUACUGGGCGUAAAGCGCACGUAGGCGGAUUGUUAAGUCGGGGGUGAAAUCCUGGAGCUCAACUCCAGAACUGCCUUCGAUACUGGCGAUCUCGAGUUCGGGAGAGGUGAGUGGAACUGCGAGUGUAGAGGUGAAAUUCGUAGAUAUUCGCAAGAACACCAGUGGCGAAGGCGGCUCACUGGCCCGAUACUGACGCUGAGGUGCGAAAGCGUGGGGAGCAAACAGG